CGAAUGCCCAAGAGAUCGGGAUAACACCUGGAAACAGAUGCUAAUACCGGAUAACAACAGAUGAUGCCUAUCAACUGUUUAAAAGAUGGUUCUGCUAUCACUCUUGGAUGGACCUGCGGUGCAUUAGCUAGUUGGUAGGGUAACGGCCUACCAAGGCGAUGAUGCAUAGCCGAGUUGAGAGACUGAUCGGCCACAUUGGGACUGAGACACGGCCCAAACUCCUACGGGAGGCAGCAGCG
Molecule: ribosomal RNA, 239 nt
Filed under: uncultured Lactobacillus sp.
Lineage: Bacteria; Bacillati; Bacillota; Bacilli; Lactobacillales; Lactobacillaceae
Description: partial 16S ribosomal RNA
Rfam family: Bacterial small subunit ribosomal RNA
Source: RNAcentral